This is a long non-coding RNA of Xenia sp. Carnegie-2017, 144 nucleotides long. RefSeq lists it as uncharacterized. The transcript is spliced from 2 exons. The record is from RefSeq and is a predicted model, not a curated record. NCBI's taxonomy places the organism in Eukaryota, Metazoa, Cnidaria, Anthozoa, Malacalcyonacea, Xeniidae.
GUUUGGUGUUUGAAAAAACUGGAAACUACGACAAAGCUAUAGAGGUUUACAAAAAAGCCCUGGAAAUUCGAAUACAAUUGUUAGGUCCAAAUCAUGUUGAUGUUGCUGUUUCUUUUAAACAAUCUUGGUUUGGUGUUUGAAAAA